UUCCACUGCCCUUGAUUAAUUAUUGGCUCCUUCGUGUAACAAAACUGUUAUGAAUUGUGCCAUUGUGGAUAGCCUAUCUUCUCAUUUUAAUUUUAUUAAAAAUCUCGGAUAAAACAGACGAGAGAACCAUUCUUUCUCUUUUACCCUUUCCUUUUUUUUUUUGUCUUUGAAAGAGGAGAACCAUUCACGUCUGAAUUUUAUCUGUUUUCUUACUUUUGUUGCGGCAGGUUAAUGUUGUUCCUUGUUUGUUUUGACUAAGAACUCGAGUGUUUCAACUCACUGUUUUUCUUUAUAUGUGACUUAACCUACUCAACAUUUCUUGACUGUUUUUAUUUACAUGUGAAUCGGAUCUUUAUUUUCUUUCUUCUGAUUUGAUCUGAUCUCAUACAACUUUUCUUUUGUUCUUUAUCUGUUGAAUUUGAAGGAUAUUGAAAACUGGACACCCUGAACCACAUCUUCCAUGGAUCAGUUGCAAGUUAAGACAAAGGUUUCUCUAAUGGAAGCGUACAUGACAAGUAAACUCUUAAGGCAAUAGCUAAGGAUUGGUCCGUCGGAAGGG
This is a long non-coding RNA of Raphanus sativus (radish), 559 nucleotides long. RefSeq lists it as uncharacterized. The record is from RefSeq and is a predicted model, not a curated record. NCBI's taxonomy places the organism in Eukaryota, Viridiplantae, Streptophyta, Magnoliopsida, Brassicales, Brassicaceae. The transcript has 3 exons.